GUUAAGCGACUAAGCGUACACGGUGGAUGCCCUGGCAGUCAGAGGCGAUGAAGGACGUGCUAAUCUGCGAUAAGCGUCGGUAAGGUGAUAUGAACCGUUAUAACCGGCGAUUUCCGAAUGGGGAAACCCAGUGUGUUUCGACACACUAUCAUUAACUGAAUCCAUAGGUUAAUGAGGCGAACCGGGGGAACUGAAACAUCUAAGUACCCCGAGGAAAAGAAAUCAACCGAGAUUCCCCCAGUAGCGGCGAGCGAACGGGGAGCAGCCCAGAGCCUGAAUCAGUGUGUGUGUUAGUGGAAGCGUCUGGAAAGGCGCGCGAUACAGGGUGACAGCCCCGUACACAAAAAUGCACAUGCUGUGAGCUCGAUGAGUAGGGCGGGACACGUGGUAUCCUGUCUGAAUAUGGGGGGACCAUCCUCCAAGGCUAAAUACUCCUGACUGACCGAUAGUGAACCAGUACCGUGAGGGAAAGGCGAAAAGAACCCCGGCGAGGGGAGUGAAAAAGAACCUGAAACCGUGUACGUACAAGCAGUGGGAGCACGCUUAGGCGUGUGACUGCGUACCUUUUGUAUAAUGGGUCAGCGACUUAUAUUCUGUAGCAAGGUUAACCGAAUAGGGGAGCCGAAGGGAAACCGAGUCUUAACUGGGCGUUAAGUUGCAGGGUAUAGACCCGAAACCCGGUGAUCUAGCCAUGGGCAGGUUGAAGGUUGGGUAACACUAACUGGAGGACCGAACCGACUAAUGUUGAAAAAUUAGCGGAUGACUUGUGGCUGGGGGUGAAAGGCCAAUCAAACCGGGAGAUAGCUGGUUCUCCCCGAAAGCUAUUUAGGUAGCGCCUCGUGAAUUCAUCUCCGGGGGUAGAGCACUGUUUCGGCAAGGGGGUCAUCCCGACUUACCAACCCGAUGCAAACUGCGAAUACCGGAGAAUGUUAUCACGGGAGACACACGGCGGGUGCUAACGUCCGUCGUGAAGAGGGAAACAACCCAGACCGCCAGCUAAGGUCCCAAAGUCAUGGUUAAGUGGGAAACGAUGUGGGAAGGCCCAGACAGCCAGGAUGUUGGCUUAGAAGCAGCCAUCAUUUAAAGAAAGCGUAAUAGCUCACUGGUCGAGUCGGCCUGCGCGGAAGAUGUAACGGGGCUAAACCAUGCACCGAAGCUGCGGCAGCGACACUAUGUGUUG
This 1180-nucleotide ribosomal RNA is filed under the name Escherichia coli. Its description in RNAcentral is "partial 23S ribosomal RNA". It matches the Rfam family "Bacterial large subunit ribosomal RNA", at positions 1 to 1223 of the family's 2925-position model. Lineage: Bacteria; Pseudomonadati; Pseudomonadota; Gammaproteobacteria; Enterobacterales; Enterobacteriaceae. The record is from RNAcentral.